ACCUGGGUGGCUCAGUCAGUUGAGCAUCUGACUCUGGCUCAGGUCGUGAUCUCGUGGUUUGUGGGUUCGAGCCCCGCGUCGGGUU
This 85-nucleotide transfer RNA is filed under the name Felis catus (domestic cat). It matches the Rfam family "tRNA". Rfam says of the family: Transfer RNA (tRNA) molecules are approximately 80 nucleotides in length. Their secondary structure includes four short double-helical elements and three loops (D, anti-codon, and T loops). The record is from Rfam by way of RNAcentral. Lineage: Eukaryota; Metazoa; Chordata; Mammalia; Carnivora; Felidae.